UCUUGUCAUUGUGGUGUAAACCUGACAGUCUUCAUGAAAUAACAUGGUGAUGCCAGGAAUGCAUGUUAGAUGAAGGACUGUUACAUCUCCUGCACAUAUCUUAUUGGACAGCACAUGCAAAGAGACUGUCAACAAAACAACAACAGAGAAGGUUUGCUCUGACACCCCUGUCACAGCUGGACAACUUUGAGAGAACAGUCUUUGCCAAGCCUAAUUCUGAUUCAGCAGAAACAAUAAAUAAAUAAGACUGUCUUUAAGUUGCAGAAAACAGCGAUCAUUAUGCUGCUGUGACCCAUCAAACAACCAAAGGGCACUGGCCAAUUCAGUCCCAUUUCAUUGUCAUUUCUGGUAUGAUGGUGACUCUGGGCUACACCCAAGAAAGCCAGAGCAAUGCAUCCAGAAGUCCCAGGAUGACAUUAAGAAGACAGGGAUAUUACCUUGAUCUAAAAAACAAAGCAUUGGUAGUUGUAUAAUGGUAGGGGCAUACUGAACAUCAUCAUACAUGUACUACUGAGACAAUGUAUGCAAUCAUUAUAUCCAAGAUUUGUUCCUUCAUUUGCCAGAAAUAGCUUAUGUCUCCAAGUUUUUCAUC
Molecule: long non-coding RNA, 592 nt
Organism: Anas platyrhynchos (mallard)
Lineage: Eukaryota; Metazoa; Chordata; Aves; Anseriformes; Anatidae
Source: RefSeq, a predicted model, not a curated record